Molecule: long non-coding RNA, 487 nt
Organism: Ricinus communis (castor bean)
Lineage: Eukaryota; Viridiplantae; Streptophyta; Magnoliopsida; Malpighiales; Euphorbiaceae
Exons: 2
Source: RefSeq, a predicted model, not a curated record
AGUGCAGUUGUAGAUAGCCUUAGCUGUGCAUUGCUCUCUUUGCAUCAGUCAAUAUUAUCAGAUGCCUGAAUUAAGGAGAGUGAAAUUCAUUUCUGGUACAAAGGCAACAGCAAAGGCAGCAUCAGCAAAGGCAACAGCAAGUAAGGGCAAAUCAGUUCUCUUUUAUGCCAGACCAACAAUUACAAGUUCAACAAACAAUAGAGCUGGCAGAGGUCGUGGCAGAGGAGCUAAAAAUUGUGGGAGAGGUGUUGCACCUGUUGGAAUCCAAGAGAGUCAAGCAAAUUGAGUAGUACAAUGCAAUUGUUAUUAAAUGUUGAGCAUGACAUUUCCUUUUUUAGGCAAAUAUUGUGUUUGUUAUCUUGUUUGCAGACUUGUGCCUUUCUUUGUAGCAGCCUUUGCACUAAUUUUUUGUAGGCAAAUAUUGUCUUUGUAUCCACACAUAUUAACAGAAUGUUUUGAAGGUAAAUAAUUCCUUUAUUUUCAUCAA